CUUGAAGUCAGUGAGACCAAGAACCCACCAAUUCCGGACACAAUAGUAUUGAGUGGUGGGUACUUUCCAAGGUUAUUGGGUCAUGAGAGAUCCUCCCUUUGUAAAUGGACUUAAAGCAGUUAUAAAACAAGCUUCCCACAGAAUGAGACAAGCUGCUUUUCCAGGUUCUGCCCUGUGAGGGUACUGUGUUUUUCCCUCCAGAAGAUGCAGCCAUAAGGCGCCAUCUUGGAAGCAGAGAUCAGCCCUCAUCAGACAACUGAAGUUGCCACCACCUUGAUAGCAGACUUCCCAGGCUCCAGAACUGAUACUCAUCCUUGGAACUCAAAUUCGCACACACGGAGAGACUCCCGCACAGAGAAGAAAUGAGCACCCUAACUGACAGCCAGCGUGGACCAUCCAUCAGCAAUGUGACUGAGGGAGUGAGCCUUCAGAUGACUCUUCCAGCACCCAGUCUCCCAGUUUUCCUGCUAAGGCUUCAGACAUCAUGCAGUAGAGAGAAAAAGCCAUUCGUGCUCUGCCCUGUAUAAUUUCGGACCGAGACUAUAAGUGGUUGUCUUAGACCACAUGUUUUAGGGUAAUUUACUAUGCAGCCAUAGUGACUGGAACAUACUUCCAAGUAAAUCUAGCAGAAAAUACAAUAAUAUUUUUGUUUAUUUUCUACUCAUAUGUAAGAGAUGAGCCUUUUCUCUCAUAAAGAAAUAGUUUCUAUAAUGUUAUGGUAGAGGAAAGGGGCAAGAUAAUCCAAACACACUGAAGGGAGCUCUAAGUACAGGGAAGAACAUAUACAUAUUAUAGCCACAGGUUUUUUUUUUUCUUCAAACUCAUCUAUUAUUUUGAGUAUGAUAAUACUAUGUCUGUGUAUGACAGAAAAAUUUAAACUUUGUCAUCCUCUGGGAGAAUGUUCAGGUAAAUUGAAGGUAUUUCGGAAAUUCAGACUAACAAAUGCGUGGCUAAUUAUAGGCAUACAUUUCAAGGGAAAGAUUUUCAGGUAAAUACAAAUUUGUUUUAUUUUAUUUUAUUAAAUUAUCCCUUGAUUAUUAACAAUUUGUUGUUUGUGUAAAUAAAAAUAGUUACUGUACAAUUUGAAGGUUAGCCUUUUUUCGUGGUAUUAUCUUUCAUACAGAUCCCUGGAGGGUGUUUACUCCGAGGAAAUGUUGAUCUCUUAAAGAUCUGCCACAGAAUUCUUCUAGCCUACUUUCUGAUCAGCUCCCUUUGUAUUAUGAGUCUAUGAAAUGAUAAAUCACAAUUAUUUCCUGGUCGAUUUCUUCUGGAUAACAGUCCUCUUAGCUCCCUUCUCAUUCCCAGUAAUUAGUGAGCUCUCUUUUCUUUUACUGUUGAUGUCACUAGUAUUCAACUGACAUCUGUCAAAACUUUUGGUAUUCUUUACUGAGUUAUUAUUGAAAUGCUUUUAAAAUGGAUGAAUACAACAAUCAUGAAGUUGUCAAUUUUAUAAUUAAUUUUUGAAUGAGCUUGUGAGAAUGAUUGUGGCUUUAUAGUAUCAGGUGUGAAAGCAUUCAAAAUUAGUCAAAAGAUUUUUUUCCUUUAUCUCUUAAAUACAAUUAUGAAUUUUAAAAAACAGAACAAAAACAGCAUAAUGAUCUAGAUAUUAUUAUUUUAAUUGCUACAUGGUGGAAAAAAACUUCCUUUAUACAUUUUUCAAGAUGUGUAUCUAUUUUCUAGUAUGUUUUACUUUACCAAAUCCUGUUUUAAAUAAAGUGAAAUUAGUGCUUAAGAGACUGCAAAUUUGAAUUAAUUAUAAAAUCAUAAAUCAGAUGUUAAUUUUGUUAAUUCCAAACAUAUUUAAAUAUAAUGAUAUUAACAAUAAAAAAUAUAACAACAUAUUUAUUGAGCACUUACUAUAUGUCAGACACUGAUAGGUACUGUUCAAGAGUUAGUUUAUCAGAUUCAGGUAUUAAUGCAUUUACUCUACACAAUUACUUUGGAUAGAUACUUUAAAUUUCCUUUUGUUUUACAGAUGAGGAAAAAGACUUACAGGGACUAUCUAUGUAUAGAAAUGCAUUCGUUUUCAAUGUGUGUCUAUGUGUGCUCUUUGUAAGUAUACAUGCAUACACAAAUACAGACACACACACACAAAUUAAUAUAGCUGUAUCAAGUUUUCUGAAGGAAAGACACAACAUAUUUAACUAGCAUAUUUUCUUCUUUGUUUUUACAGUGGCUAUAAUCCAGUUUGUGUCUAAUAAUUGUCUUCCCUGAAAUGCCCAUUUUUCUCCAGAAAUGGCCUUUGAGUGGAAUGUUCUAGCUAAGGGGCUCUCUGUUGUAACGGUUCCCGCAGCCAUCAGUACAUUAGCUCCAACUGCUGCUGUAGCCAUUGCCAUUUACAUUUCUCCCAGGAGAAUUCAGAUGAAAAAAGGAAACUGUUAGUGCUAAGUGUGUGCCAGGUUUGGAUAUAAUCUCUAAACACAUUCUAGCUGAGCCUAGAAUGAGAAUAUUUUCUUUUAUUUUUCAAUGGGCAAAAAUACUAUGUUAUAGAGUACAAAAUGUGAGUGCAUUACAAUAAAAACAGUAGUACAGUAAAAAUAGACACUCUUAUGAGGACAGAAAAGAUUUUAUUUGGAACAAUAGCUUUAAAAGCAGACUCCUGCUUCUCUAAGUUUAAGUAUUGGGAAGCCAAGGGGACAAAAUUCCAAUUUAGUGACUGAACCCUCACUUUUUCCAGAUUGUUCUUCCCUUAAAACAGGUAACAACAGUGAUUGUAAUUUCAACUAAGGAGUUUGGCACUAAUUCAAAAUGAGGAUUUUAAUAAACUUCACUGUUAUCCUAACAUCUCCUCUCUUCUCCUAAAACCAUAUAUGUGAAGGUAUGUGUACAUUCACCUACAUAUUUCUUUGCCUAUUUUUUCUUUUAACGUUUUAU
Molecule: long non-coding RNA, 2874 nt
Filed under: Homo sapiens (human)
Lineage: Eukaryota; Metazoa; Chordata; Mammalia; Primates; Hominidae
Description: HSALNT0041105
Source: RNAcentral